AACUGAUAUUCCAGAGAGAAGAAACUAGAAAAUUAACCUCGUUGCUAAACUUGGAGUUCAGAGGAUCACAGGCAUUGCUCUUUUCAACACAAGAGAGGAACAAACAUACGACCCUUUGCCAGAUUUGGAGAUUUUUGUAAGGACCAAGCCAACCAUCUACAAG
Non-coding RNA from Prunus mume (Japanese apricot), 163 nucleotides. The record is from RefSeq and is a predicted model, not a curated record. Lineage: Eukaryota; Viridiplantae; Streptophyta; Magnoliopsida; Rosales; Rosaceae.